RNAcentral lists this transfer RNA (71 nucleotides) under Dipodomys ordii (Ord's kangaroo rat). It matches the Rfam family "tRNA". Rfam says of the family: Transfer RNA (tRNA) molecules are approximately 80 nucleotides in length. Their secondary structure includes four short double-helical elements and three loops (D, anti-codon, and T loops). Lineage: Eukaryota; Metazoa; Chordata; Mammalia; Rodentia; Heteromyidae. The record is from Rfam by way of RNAcentral.
GGGAAUGUAGCUUAGUGAUAAGAGUGCUUGCCUAGCAUGCAUGAAGCCCAGGGUUCAAUUCCUCAGUACCA